RNAcentral lists this ribosomal RNA (459 nucleotides) under uncultured bacterium. Its description in RNAcentral is "partial 16S ribosomal RNA". It matches the Rfam family "Bacterial small subunit ribosomal RNA", at positions 338 to 795 of the family's 1533-position model. The record is from RNAcentral.
CCUACGAGAGGCAGCAGUGAGGAAUAUUGGUCAAUGGGCGGAAGCCUGAACCAGCCAAGUAGCGUGCGGGCUGAAGGCCCUACGGGUCGUAAACCGCUUUUGCACGGGGAUAACACCCUCCCCUUGUGGAGGUCUGCAGGUACCUUGCGAAUAAGGGCCGGCUAAUUCCGUGCCAACAGCCGCGGUAAUACGGAAGGCCCGAGCGGUAUCCGGAGUCAGUGGGCUUAAAGGGAGCGUAGGCGGGCGUUCAAGUCAGCUGUAAAAUCGCGCGGCUCAAACGCGCCCCGCAGUUGAAACUGGACGCCUUGAGUUCACAACAGGCAGGCGGAAUUCGUGGUGUAGCGGUGAAAUGCAUAGAUAUCACGAGGAACCCCGAUUGCGAAGGCAGCCUGCUGGGGUGCGACUGACGCUGAGGCUCGAAGGUGCGGGUAUCAAACAGGAUUAGAUACCCCGGUAGUC